Xenopus laevis (African clawed frog) is the source of this 1830-nucleotide long non-coding RNA. RefSeq lists it as uncharacterized. Lineage: Eukaryota; Metazoa; Chordata; Amphibia; Anura; Pipidae. The transcript is spliced from 2 exons. The record is from RefSeq and is a predicted model, not a curated record.
GGGGUUGAUCAGGUGGGUGAGGGGGGAGGUGCUUGUUGGUUAUUUGGGGUAGGAAACAGGUGUGUGGGGGGUGGGUGAAUAGAGCAGUGUAAUGGGUCAGUAUGUGCAGAAUAUUGGGGGACAGCAGAAUGAGUUGGGGGGAGGGGUUGAGUAGGAAGUGGGGAGCACAUGCAGGAUAUUACCCCCACAGGGAAGUGCUGGAUGUUGGUGAGACUAAUGGUCAGUAGAGAAGAGUUCAUGUGAAGGUGCUGACCCAAAUCAGGCCCAACAGAAACCCCACAGACAGAUGCAUUGUAGCCUGUACCCCAGGAAUGAAAUGAACUGGAGCAGCCGCUCACUUGGGAACCAUGAGACUGACGCUCUGUAGCUAGCCUGUGAUUGGACAAAGACAAGCUGUGUUCAGGGACUCGGGAUUCCACCAGGGCUUCAAUGGAGGUGGAACAGCAGCAGUUACACAAUGUGAGGAGACAAACAUAUUACAAACCAGUACCCCAAUGGGUCACCUCCCUCCCUUAUUCCUGCUUGUUACACCACUGAGGGACAGGGACUGUACCAGGCUGAGUAAGGCUGUGAUGGACAUUAAAGGACAAGGCAACUUUCAUUUGACUUCACUUGCCAAUGUGUUUGGACCCCCCAGUAAAUUUAAUCACCCUGGUAAGGUGCCCUGUGUUAGUUUCUACAGCAACCCUGCACUUCCAUCAUUCUCCCCCAGCUUUCCGUCGGCUAAACGGGACUCCCUGCUGCACUUGUGCCUGGGAAAGGAAAGAAAGAUGGCGGCACUGCUCCCCGGGCAGUUGCAUUUUGUAACAGAUGAUACAAGCCACUCAUUUGAGUGUGGGAAUGUUAUGGUAGCAGCCAGUGCAAGUGAGGGAAUACAGGGACAUGUAAGCUCUUCGUACAAGUUGAUCCAGGGACUGGUCCCAUUGCAUGUUGGAGUCAGGAGACAAAGUGGAGAGGCUUCAGAAGGAGUUGGGUUUUCUAUACACAGAACGUUUUGGAUGGAAUUGUGUGUCUCUGUUCCACCCCAGCUAUGAUGUUACUAUGGAUUUAUAUUGCUGGCCUGGGAUCCAGUCAUUAAUAGCAAUAUGUCGGUCACUGCAAUUGGGCAAGUGAAGCUGCACUGACCAUUAAAGCUAUGAAUGAAUUAUAUUUCUCCCCGCCAGCUCCAAGACUUUCUGCUCGUGUAUAACAAGAUGACCGAGCUGUGUUUGAGCCGCUGCACAAACAUUUACCGCUUGGUAACCAUGGAGGAGGUAUGGCUGCCAGUUUGUGCCACAGCCUGGGGGUGCUGGUUGGCUGCCAGUCCCAGUGUAAGGCUGCUGGGAGUCUGCAUGUGUAGUAGUGUUAAAAUGUAACCAUGGGCGUCUCUUGCCCACCUUCACUGUGUCCCCCUGUAGGAGCAGUGCUUCGGCAGCUGCACAUCCAAACUCAUCCGUGCCAACCCCCAGCUCAUAUCUGCCUAUAUGUGUCUGAUGCCCAGCGUAUGAGGGAAACCAGGGGCUGCCAGUAAUGUGCCCAGCUCAGAACUUCCCAUACAGACUGAGACUGUGCCAGUGCUGAUCAAAUGCCCCCCGUUAUUACUGCUGCUUCUGACUUGGGGUAACUUACCCACAAACAAAGACCAGUAUGAGCAAUUACACCUAAUGCAACUCUCCUACUGCUACUCAGGGGUCGUUCACAUGAACAAUGCCCUUGGCUUCCAUGCUGUGCUUGGGCUUCUACUCUGCAACAGGUUUUCCUGUGACCCCAGUUAUUUCUGGGUGGGGGUUGGCCCAUCCCCAGGGAUCACUAGCUGUGUUAUUGUAAUAAACUUUCAUUUUUAUUCCUGUG